Molecule: long non-coding RNA, 293 nt
Filed under: Lathyrus oleraceus (garden pea)
Lineage: Eukaryota; Viridiplantae; Streptophyta; Magnoliopsida; Fabales; Fabaceae
Description: Pisum sativum (pea) long non-coding RNA (PSAT_LNC032656)
Source: RNAcentral
UUCGACGCACCUUCAGGAUACUCCUGAGUCUUGAGGAAGUUCUUGAUGUCAUAAUACCACGGCUUCUCAUCAAUCACAACAGACUCGGCUGCAAACACAUACGCAGGCCUCUCGAGUCGAUUCACCGCAACAUGUGGCACAUGAUUCCACCAAUGAACUUUGAUCAUAGAAGACAAAGUAGCCAAGGCAUCGGCCAUUUGAUUCUCAUCCCGGGGGACAUGAUACAACUUCACCUUCUUGAAGAACGUCAGUAUUCUUCUGGUGUAAUCUCUAUACGGAAUCAAAUGCGGCUG